AACGAACGCUGGCGGCAUGCCUAACACAUGCAAGUCGAACGAGACCUUCGGGUCUAGUGGCGCACGGGUGCGUAACGCGUGGGAACCUGCCCUUAGGUUCGGAAUAACUCCCCGAAAGGGGUGCUAAUACCGGAUAAUGUCUUCGGACCAAAGAUUUAUCGCCUUUGGAUGGGCCCGCGUUGGAUUAGCUAGUUGGUAGGGUAAAAGCCUACCAAGGCGACGAUCCAUAGCUGGUCUGAGAGGAUGAUCAGCCACACUGGGACUGGGACACGGCCCAGACUCCUACGGGAGGCAGCAGUGGGGAAUAUUGGACAAUGGGCGAAAGCCUGAUCCAGCAAUGCCGCGUGAGUGAUGAAGGCCUUAGGGUUGUAAAGCUCUUUUACCCGGGAUGAUAAUGACAGUACCGGGAGAAUAAGCUCCGGCUAACUACGUG
RNAcentral lists this ribosomal RNA (433 nucleotides) under uncultured bacterium. RNAcentral's name for it is "partial 16S ribosomal RNA". It matches the Rfam family "Bacterial small subunit ribosomal RNA", at positions 29 to 507 of the family's 1533-position model. The record is from RNAcentral.